Molecule: non-coding RNA, 163 nt
Filed under: uncultured Barnesiella sp.
Lineage: Bacteria; Pseudomonadati; Bacteroidota; Bacteroidia; Bacteroidales; Barnesiellaceae
Source: RNAcentral
UGGUGUUUCUAUUUCGGGCAACGCAAUAGAAGUGAAAAGGGAAUCGGGUGAAAAUCCCGGACAGUCCCGCUGCUGUAAGUUUUGAACCUGUUCCGCAAAUAUGCCACUGAGCCGAUCGGGAAGGCGCGGAAACGGAAAAACAAGUCAGAAGACCUGCCAAAAC